Molecule: ribosomal RNA, 478 nt
Filed under: Vibrio alginolyticus
Lineage: Bacteria; Pseudomonadati; Pseudomonadota; Gammaproteobacteria; Vibrionales; Vibrionaceae
Description: bacterial SSU rRNA
Rfam family: Bacterial small subunit ribosomal RNA
Source: RNAcentral
GAACCUUCGGGGAACGAUAACGGCGUCGAGCGGCGGACGGGUGAGUAAUGCCUAGGAAAUUGCCCUGAUGUGGGGGAUAACCAUUGGAAACGAUGGCUAAUACCGCAUGAUGCCUACGGGCCAAAGAGGGGGACCUUCGGGCCUCUCGCGUCAGGAUAUGCCUAGGUGGGAUUAGCUAGUUGGUGAGGUAAGGGCUCACCAAGGCGACGAUCCCUAGCUGGUCUGAGAGGAUGAUCAGCCACACUGGAACUGAGACACGGUCCAGACUCCUACGGGAGGCAGCAGUGGGGAAUAUUGCACAAUGGGCGCAAGCCUGAUGCAGCCAUGCCGCGUGUAUGAAGAAGGCCUUCGGGUUGUAAAGUACUUUCAGUCGUGAGGAAGGCGGCGUCGUUAAUAGCGGCGUUGUUUGACGUUAGCGACAGAAGAAGCACCGGCUAACUCCGUGCCAGCAGCCGCGGUAAUACGGAGGGUGCGAGCG